This 1321-nucleotide ribosomal RNA is filed under the name uncultured bacterium. RNAcentral's name for it is "partial 16S ribosomal RNA". It matches the Rfam family "Bacterial small subunit ribosomal RNA", at positions 28 to 1320 of the family's 1533-position model. The record is from RNAcentral.
AAUUAACGCUGGCGGCAUGCGUAACACAUGCAAGUCGUACGAGAAAGCCCGGUUCGCCGGGCGAGUAAAGUGGCGCACGGGUGAGUAACGCGUGGGUAAUCUACCCCGGUCUGGGGGAUAACGCACCGAAAGGUACGCUAAUACCGCAUGACCCGACGGGUCCCUGGACCCAUCGGCAAAGGUGGCCUCUGCAUGCAAGCUACCGAACCGGGAUGAGCCCGCGUCCUAUUAGCUUGUUGGUGGGGUAAUGGCCCACCAAGGCGACGAUGGGUAGCUGGUCUGAGAGGACGGCCAGCCACACUGGAACUGGUACACGGUCCAGACUCCUACGGGAGGCAGCAGUGAGGAAUAUUGCGCAAUGGGGGAAACCCUGACGCAGCGAUGCCGCGUGGGUGAAGAAGGCCUUCGGGUCGUAAAGCCCUGUCAGGCGGGAAGAAUAGCCCCGGGGCUAAUAUYUCCGGGGUGURACGGUACCGCUGAAGGAAGCACCGGSUAACUCCGUGCCAGCAGCCGCGGUAAGACGGAGGGUGCGAGCGUUAUUCSGAAUUAUKGGGCGUAAAGGGCGUGCAGGCGGCCSGCCAAGUYUGAUGUGAAAGCCCGGGSYUUAMCCUCGRAAGGGCGUKGRAAACUGGUUGGCUUGAGUUCGGGAGAGGARAAGCGRAAUUUYSGGUGUAGAGGUGAAAUUCGUAGAUAUCCGRRGGAMCACCGUGGCGAAAGGCGGCUUUUCUGGACCGAAACUGACGCUGARACGCGAAAGCGUGGGGAGCAAACAGGAUUAGAUACCCUGGUAGUCCACGCUGUAAACGAUGGGCACUAGGKGKKGGGGGKUUUUAAUCCCUCCGUGSCGCAGCUAACGCAUUAARUGCSCCGCCUGGGGAGUACSGCCGCMAGGUUAAAACUCAARGGAWUUGACGGGGGCCCGCACAAGCGGUGGAGCAUGUGGUUCAAUUCGACGCAACGCGAAGAACCUUACCUGGGCUUGACAUGUGGGGAAUCCCAUGGAAACAUGGGAGUGCGUAGCAAUACGAGCCUCAACACAGGUGCUGCAUGGCUGUCGUCAGCUCGUGUCGUGAGAUGUUGGGUUAAGCCCCGCAACGAGCGCAACCCUUGUCUCUAGUUGCCACCAUUCAGUUGGGCACUCUAGAGAGACUGCCGGUGAUAAACCGGAGGAAGGUGGGGACGACGUCAAGUCCUCAUGGCCUUUAUGCCCAGGGCUACACACGUGCUACAAUGGGCGGUACAAAGGGUUGCAAACCCGCGAGGGGGAGCCAAUCCCAAAAAGCCGUCCUCAGUUCGGAUUGGAGUCUGCAACUCGACUCCA